Molecule: non-coding RNA, 320 nt
Organism: Pelobates cultripes (western spadefoot toad)
Lineage: Eukaryota; Metazoa; Chordata; Amphibia; Anura; Pelobatidae
Source: the annotation of a GenBank genome assembly
GACAAAUUCAUGUAAAUCUAGUUUACACAUAAAUGUCAAGUAUCCUGUCUGGGCAGACUUUCUUUCUUCAGUUGCCUAAACAGUAAACAUUACGUGUCUCUCUUUCACCCUGGUGCCUCAACUGUGUAACUGUUUGUAACCUGCAAUAAAACAUACGUAGGGAGCACAGGCUACAUUCCAUCUGUGUGCCACUAUCCAUCCAACUUCCAAUAAGUGCCCUGAAUCCUAGGAGUUUACCAAGAGAGUUCACCAAGGAGGAAAACAGCAGACAGUGCUUCAAUCAACAUUCUCAUUAUCAUCCACUAGCUGUUUUGCUUGCU